Molecule: ribosomal RNA, 204 nt
Filed under: uncultured bacterium
Lineage: Bacteria
Description: partial 16S ribosomal RNA
Rfam family: Bacterial small subunit ribosomal RNA
Source: RNAcentral
ACGCUCGACACCUACGGAAGGCAGCAGUGGGGAAUAUUGUACAAUGGGGGAAACCCUGAUGCAGCGACGCCGCGUGAGCGAAGAAGUAUUUCGGUAUGUAAAGCUCUAUCAGCAGGGAAGAAACUGACGGUACCUGACUAAGAAGCACCGGCUAAAUACGUGCCAGCACGCCGACGGUAAUCUGAGGCGGGCGUGGACGAAGGC